AAGACCAUUUUCCUGUUUUCGCUCUGUUUUUUCAUCGUGUUCGUCGCGAAAUUUGAAUAAGAAAAAUUCUUGAGAAACCAGUAAGUCGGUCUGUUUUUCCGAGUGCGGAAAAUAUCGAGAGAAAAACAUCUCCGGUCCAGUUGAAUGGUGGAUUAAGUGAAAAUUAUUGUAACCAGACUCAGAGGAAAUUUGAUGAAAAUCAGUCGACUCGAGUCGAUUGUCACGGUGAACGUGUCCGAGCACGCAGAGAAGUGGGGUUGGAAAAGUUUCGUCGAGAUUUUUCCUUUCUCAUAAGUAAAUUGUCGUCCGGUCGUGUCGGAUUUUCCCGUUUUAUUAUUCCGGAAAAUAGAACAAUUAUAGGUGCGAAAACAUCUGCGUUAGUUACGAAUUAGAAAGCAGUUUUCCUUUUGCUCUCCAGGAAUAUUAAUUUAACCCCCGAACUCCCCGCAUUCAGUGUUUGUCUGGUGGAUUUUCCCAACUUCCUUUCGUUAUAAAUACUAUGGAUUGACAUUGCUUGAGUUCUUGAAACAUAAUUAAUAUCGGUUUAUCCGCGGAACAAAUUUAUGAUCCCAUAUCCGCACUGUUCCCUGCUCCUACGAAAACAUGAGGACUUAGACCGUUUUAUUGGCAGUUUUCCGCCGAAUGACUCUGUAAAUAUUUGAGUCCCGACAUUGUGUUGCGACGUCCCCGCUGAAACCAAUCACAACCCCAAUCGGAACAAGUGUAAAUGUUUCCUGAAUUGAUAUUUUUAAUGCUCGGUCACUGAGGCUCCGGCGCGGUCCUAGGACAUUUAAUUGCUUAUCCGAUAUGCUGACUAAGGCACUGGAGCCUCGAACCAGUCGCAAGCUGGUGUGAAUUACCAAGGACCAUUCCUAGCCUUACCACUGAGCCGAGGAGCCAGUUCUGCAUUGCAAUGGAUCGCCCCGUCACCAUCGUGUUAGGAAGCAUGACAUCCGCAGUGUGGAACCUUUUGUAAAUAUGUAAAUUGCCUGACUAGUUUCAAGAUCAUCUGAUUAAUCGGCUCCGAAGGGAAAACUCCCUUUGUGGAGUGAAAAUUCCACUAGGGUUUCCCACGACGACGGCAAAAACGCGCAUAUCCUUUGUUUCUGUCAUGCCGCAGUGAGGCAUUGGUCUACCUGUGCGGCGUAUAUAUAGGGCAAACGUUAUCCUUUUACGUAUCGUGUUUACAAUGUGAGAUGUAUAUGUAUGUGUGGUCUUUCCUGUGUUUUCAUUUUUCUACCCCUUUGUAUCGAAACAGAAUCGCGAAAUCUAAAACAAACUAUGUGUAAUGGAAGUUAAUCCGCACCAAGUAUUUUUGUCAUUAAGUCUCCCUUUCCGUUUGCGUUUGACGUAUCCUGGAACUGCCUGGAAAGCCGAUGUCAUCAACACUGUCAUCGCCAAGACUCAGAAGAGAUAACGAAAAACUCAAUGUGCGAAAAAUGCCAAGGAAUUAUGUGAAAAACUGAAUUCACCCUCGACGUUAUUGUGUCCUUAGCUAGAAAACAAAGCGAAUCGUCUAGUCCUUAUUAGAGUAAAACGCAUGCCACGCAACCGUUCAUGAUUGUCCGAGUGCAACCGUAGUUCCUGUUCCGUUUGAGUAGUCAGAAGAGUCCCUCCUUUGUCCAAGCAAGAUUUCAGUUUGGUCCAUAGCUUUAUUAAUCUUAAAGUAUUGUAAAUAUAUUCGUACGAAAGUGUAGUGUAAGUGUCCGCAACUCAAUGAAAAUCAUGGUGAAUCCUUUGAUCCUUAAUCAGUAAUAAUCCAAGUAUAAUUCGUUUCUUUGCCGAAAUCAGAAGGGAAGUGCUCCGUUUCCCUUGAUAGCUCCAGUGUCACGCAGGAUUUUCCAACCCUCUCGGUCAUCGGUUCAUUCACAUGCACUAAGGAUAUAUAUGACAACCCCCCGCGAUACCGGGGUUAGACAACGUGACGACCUCACUGUCAGAUUUCUCCUUAACAAAUUACGUAGAAUACAUCGGAAACCGGAAUUGUAAAAUUAAUACAAAAUAUCCGGUUUAGAAGAAGACUGGCGGCCUGACCGGCCCAUGGUUCAAAGAGCCUCAUCGUCUGAUGCCCCAUCCGUUUCGGGCGGGGGUGGCCAACAUCACUUGCAUCAGUAUCAGCAGCAACAGCAUCAUCGUGAAUCACGAAUGGGGCUCGGUAUUGGCUAUGCAUCGUACCAAGGCGGAUAUAAUAAGCUCUUCACACAGGGUUCUGCCGAUUCAAAUUACUCGCAACCGUCAUCCGAUCUGUCGCUAGACGAGGACAAAGAAUCGCUUCGGCGAGAAAGGGAGCGUCAGGCCAUUAGCCAGUUGGAUAAAGCAAGGACGAAACCUGUUGCGUUCGCUGUGCGAACAAAUGUAUCAUAUGAUGGAUCAAUUGAUGAUGACUCACCCGUACAUGGUAGUGCUGUAUCUUUUGAGGUUAGGGAUUUUCUUCAUAUUAAGGAGAAAUAUGACAAUAACUGGUGGAUUGGAAGAAAAGUCAAAGAAGGCUGUGAUGUGGGCUUUAUACCCAGCCCCGUUAAGCUAGAACAUAUACGAAUGCAGGCAUCCGCUGCGCGAUCCUCACGACUGUACGCAACAAAAGGAUCAUCCAGCGGUAAUUUAGGUGGCCCCGGAGUACCAGGUGCGGAGCCUUCACGUGGUAGCACACCCCCUACACCUGGCGACGAAUCAGAUUCUAUGGGACCAUCUCGUCACGGGAAGACACCAUUAGCCACGCCACCAACCAAGGAGAAACGAAAGCCAUUUUUCAAAAAACAGGAGACAUCAUCACCCUACGACGUGGUGCCAUCGAUGCGUCCUGUUGUCUUAGUGGGUCCAAGCUUAAAAGGAUACGAAGUCACCGAUAUGAUGCAAAAAGCUUUAUUCGAUUUUCUGAAACAUCGAUUCGCUGGCAAAAUUAUAAUUACACGCGUCAUGGCGGAUAUAUCAUUAGCGAAACGUUCACUUAUGAAUAAUCCAUCGAAACGUGCCAUUAUGGAGCGAUCCAACAGUCGGUCGUCGUGUUUAGCUGAAGUACAAGCGGAAAUUGAAAGGAUAUUCGAAUUAGCGAGAACAUUACAAUUAGUCGUACUCGAUUGUGAUACAAUCAAUCAUCCGUCGCAAUUAGCGAAGACUUCACUAGCGCCAACUAUAGUCUAUUUAAAAAUUAGUAGUAGUAAGGUUUUACAGCGUUUAAUCAAAUCACGUGGCAAAGCACAGGCGAAAAAUUUAUCCGUACAAAUGGUUGCCGCCGAAAAGUUAGCCCAAUGUCCGCCAGAAAUGUUCGAUGUGAUACUAGAUGAAAAUCAAUUAGACGAUGCUUGCGAACAUAUUGCCGAAUAUUUAGAAGCAUAUUGGAGAGCAACACAUCCCCCUAUACGACCAGCCUCAACAGUACCUAGGCCGCUCCCAUCUCAGGAAGCGUCACCGUCGACGGAGCAGCCUAGGAUGGGUCCAACACCACCAGUAACUCCAGGAGUUGUUGUGCCAACAACAACCGGUGUUGCGGCUAUAAAAAUGUCACUAUCAUUGAUAAGCUAAUAUUUUUCAACCAAACACUAUAUUCAAACUAUUAUGUGUUAUUUAGUCAACGUCUACUUGUGUUUUAUGUUUUAAUUCAAAAAAAUGUCAAUCAUUUAUUUUUUCGUGCAUCCUAUCAUCACAACAGGCGCUCUACAACGCGCCACGAUCG
Molecule: unclassified non-coding RNA, 3673 nt
Filed under: Hermetia illucens (black soldier fly)
Lineage: Eukaryota; Metazoa; Arthropoda; Insecta; Diptera; Stratiomyidae
Description: voltage-dependent L-type calcium channel subunit beta-2, transcript variant X3
Source: RNAcentral